RNAcentral lists this ribosomal RNA (493 nucleotides) under uncultured bacterium. RNAcentral's name for it is "partial 16S ribosomal RNA". It matches the Rfam family "Bacterial small subunit ribosomal RNA", at positions 28 to 507 of the family's 1533-position model. The record is from RNAcentral.
GACGAACGCUGGCGGCGUGCUUAACACAUGCAAGUCGAACGGUGAAGCGCCUUCCUUUUUGGUGGGUGUGGAUGAGUGGCGAACGGGUGAGUAACACGUGAGUAACCUGCCCCCUUCUUCUGGAUAACCGCAUGAAAGUGUGGCUAAUACGGGAUAUUCUGGGUCUGUCGCAUGAUGGGUCUGGGAAAGAUAUUGUUUCGGUGGGGGAUGGGCUCGCGGCCUAUCAGCUUGUUGGUGGGGUGAUGGCCUACCAAGGCGGUGACGGGUAGCCGGCCUGAGAGGGUGGACGGUCACACUGGGACUGAGACACGGCCCAGACUCCUACGGGAGGCAGCAGUGGGGAAUAUUGCACAAUGGGCGCAAGCCUGAUGCAGCGACGCCGCGUGAGGGAUGGAGGCCUUCGGGUUGUGAACCUCUUUCGCCAGUGAAGCAGGCCUGCCUCGUUUGUGGGUGGGUUGACGGUAGCUGGAUAGAAGCGCCGGCUAACUACGUG